ACGACCUUACUUGAACAGGAUCUGUUCUAUAGGAUCGUACCUCUGUAUCCUUGAGUUCUAAGGAGACAGGAAACUAAGUCUGGUGGAUGAA
Molecule: small nucleolar RNA, 91 nt
Filed under: Beta vulgaris subsp. vulgaris (sugar beet)
Lineage: Eukaryota; Viridiplantae; Streptophyta; Magnoliopsida; Caryophyllales; Amaranthaceae
Description: Plant small nucleolar RNA U3
Rfam family: Plant small nucleolar RNA U3
About the family: Small nucleolar RNAs (snoRNAs) are involved in the processing and modification of rRNA in the nucleolus.
Source: Rfam by way of RNAcentral